This is a non-coding RNA of Bursaphelenchus xylophilus (pine wood nematode), 73 nucleotides long. The record is from Rfam. NCBI's taxonomy places the organism in Eukaryota, Metazoa, Nematoda, Chromadorea, Rhabditida, Aphelenchoididae.
GGUCCCGUGGCCUAAUGGAUAAGGCGUCUGACUUCUAAUCAGAAGAUUGCGGGUUCGACCCCCGCCGGGACCU